AUUGAACGCUGGCGACAUGCCUUACACAUGCAGGUCGAACGGCAGCACGGGUGCUUGCACCUGGUGGCGAGUGGCGAACGGGUGAGUAAUACAUCGGAACAUGUCCUGUAGUGGGGGAUAGCCCGGCGAAAGCCGGAUUAAUACCGCAUACGAUCUACGGAUGAAAGCGGGGGACCUUCGGGCCUCGCGCUAUAGGGUUGGCCGAUGGCUGAUUAGCUAGUUGGUGGGGUAAAGGCCUACCAAGGCGACGAUCAGUAGCUGGUCUGAGAGGACGACCAGCCACACUGGGACUAAGACACGGCCCAGACUCCUACGGGAGGCAGCAGUGGGGAAUUUUGGACAAUGGGCGAAAGCCUGAUCCAGCAAUGCCGCGUGUGUGAAGAAGGCCUUCGGGUUGUAAAGCACUUUUGUCCGGAAAGAAAUCCUUGGCCCUAAUACGGUCGGGGGAUGACGGUACCGGAAGAAUAAGCACCGGCUAACUACGUG
RNAcentral lists this ribosomal RNA (486 nucleotides) under uncultured bacterium. RNAcentral describes it as "partial 16S ribosomal RNA". It matches the Rfam family "Bacterial small subunit ribosomal RNA", at positions 30 to 507 of the family's 1533-position model. The record is from RNAcentral.